This 119-nucleotide ribosomal RNA is filed under the name Dicentrarchus labrax (European seabass). Lineage: Eukaryota; Metazoa; Chordata; Actinopteri; Moronidae. The record is from RNAcentral.
CCUUACGGCCAUACCACCCUGAACGCGCCCGAUCUCGUCCGAUCUCGGAAGCUAAGCAGGGUCGGGCCUGGUUAGUACUUGGAUGGGAGACCGCCUGGGAAUACCAGGUGCUGUAAGCC